UCUCCUGUUGGGAAUCAAAGUAUCCAUGGGAGAAAUCCCUGUUUUCCCUCAGGUUGGGAUCACAUUUGGCAGCACUUCCUGGGCAGCUCCUGCUUCCCUUUAUCAGCCACUUCCUGAACACUUUCUCCUGUUGUUUCCAUCCAUCUCACACCCUUAAGGAGCAGAACUUGGAAAUGGGAAAACAAAAACCUGGAAGUUCUUUCCAGGAAUCCCUCCUGGAUUUCCUGACAGUCAAAAACUACUGCUUAAUCCAUAGAUCCACAUGAAGAUCAUUGGGAAUUUUCAUGUUCUGCCGUUGGGAUUUUCCCUUGCUGUUCUCUAGCAGGGAAGGGUAAAGGCCUUGAAAUUCCUUCCCCAAAAGUUAUCAUUCCAUUCUCCUUAGAAUCACUGGGAGCAGGUUUGUGCCUGAGGGUGGGAUUCACCAGCAUUCCUGAGGACCUCGUGGAGAGGCGAGUCAAACUUUGGAGCUGGAAAACUUUGCUUUUGAUUUAACUAAUUUGGCUGGAAUUCUGAGGAUUUGAGGACUCCUGAAGGAGCCAGCAGAACCAGGGAAUUGUUCCCAAAGGUGCUGAAUUGGAUUAACAGCAUUUCUUAGGGAGUGCUGGGGAAUUCCAGAGCAUUGAAGGCUGCAGGAAUUGUCACAGCCCUUGUGCAGAAAUCCAGCACUGUGUCCUGGAAUGCUGCCCCUCCCAGGAUCCCUUUCCCUGGCUGAAAUGUCACCAUGUUCCCCGGGAAUGUCCCAGUCCCAACCUGCUGUCCCGCUGGGAAGUUCAAGCCCAGGCCUGCCAGCUCCCAGCUUAUCUGCUGGGGAAAUCCAUCUGGAAAUCCAUCUGGAAAACUGAAACCAAAGGAGCUUUGUGCUCUGGCAGCUCCCACAGCAGCUUUUCCUUGGUGCUCUGGAGCAGAGGCGCUUCCCUUCUCCCUGAGAGCACAUCCAGGUCACCUCGCCCAGGAGCUGGAGACUCCUGUCCUGAGGGCACAGCAUGGAUGCUGCAUCCUGGGAGAGAGAGCCCUGGCAGGCACCUGAAUGCCCUGAACAACUCCCAUUUCAUUCAGGAUUGCAAAGUAUUCCAAGUAUUUUGAGUUCUUUUUAGCAAACUUUCCAUUCUGCAGUGACUGUUUCUCCUUUUUUUUUAAGUUUGGAGUAAAAGUGGAUCCCAGA
Long non-coding RNA from Corvus hawaiiensis (hawaiian crow), 1162 nucleotides. RefSeq lists it as uncharacterized. The transcript is spliced from 2 exons. The record is from RefSeq and is a predicted model, not a curated record. Lineage: Eukaryota; Metazoa; Chordata; Aves; Passeriformes; Corvidae.